CCGGGCCCCGGGAGCGCCGCAUCCCCGGGAAUGCUGGUGCGGGUUUGUUCCGCUGGAUGUGUGGAGCUUCUCUGCUCUUUACGCUGUGUCAUAAGGCAAAUGGCACUGCUAUUAACUGGAAAAUGUGGUCUAGCAUACAUGAGGUGCAUUUAGAGUGACAGUUCUGUACCUUGAUCUACACUUAAUGGAACCACUGUGAAUGGAGCAUCUGGUAGAACAAGUUUUCAUGUAAGGACAUGUAAGGACAUAUGAAGAAGAAAUGACAUGCUCUGAUGGCAAACUCAUGCAUGCUUUAUCACGGGCACCUGAUGGAGGAAGUGCUUUCCUGUAGCUCCUGUUUCACAGGUGAUAAAUUCACCUGUUUGAUGCAGCCUUGCUUGAUGCAGCUGGUAAUGAAUUGUAUAUUUUUAAGUUUUAUCAGCGUUCUCAUCUGUUAGAAUUUCAUGCUUAGAUCUGUGGGAACUGUUUGUCAGUUGGUUUAGGGUUUCUUAGUGCUUCCUAGUUGAUUUUUUUAAAUAGCUAUAAUGUUAAACCAGGUGACCUGAUUAAUCUGUCAGAAUUUGAAAUGUGUUUUAAAAAUUGCCUACGUUAUAAGAAAUUUCUGUUGCCAUUUGUUCCUUUAAAUGUUCUGCAAUUAAUGAUAGAUGGCUUUAUUUUAAUGUGCCAAGAAAUAUCAAUGCAGAAAUAGCUACUGGAAUUUGAUGGCUCACUCACAGGCAAAUUUAUCAAAUAGGCUCAAGCAGUUGAGUUUGAUCCCAAAUAUCCUAAGUAUUCAUGUAUGAGGGUAUCCAUAUAUGAUGGAAUUCAUUAUGGUAAUGUUUAGCAGAUUUUGAUAUUCCAUCUUCACAUGUUUUUUUAAAAUGAAAUACAUAUUGUCCAUACCGUAGUAGGAGUAUUAAAGGGUAAUUGUAGAUACUCUUAAUAUUUUUCAUGCAAGUUCUUUGGCUUCAAGAUUACAAAUAACAGGGACCAAGUUAAGGCUUGUUGUGUUUUUAGAAAGUCUAACAGAUAAAAGAAAAGCAUGGGAACAAACUGAAGCAGUUAUCACAGUUAUUUAAAACCCCAGAGCAGAACUGUUGCCUGAGAUUAGGUCUCAUCCCAGAAUAGCCCAACAGAGGAAGCUGUAUCUCCUGCUGCAGUGGCAGAGGGGUCACUUGUGUGCCUGGGAUAAAGGUCCUGUCCUCUCCAGGACACCCAGAUGUCCUGUGAGACUCAGGAGCUCUGGGAUGCUCUGAGCACAGUGGGUUUAUGGCAGGAGCUCAGAUGAGCCCUGGAGAGCUCAGGCCUCAGUUCUGAGAGCUGUGCUGGAUAUUUGUGUGUCCUGUGCAGCUGCCUGUGCUCCCUGUGUCUGAUGCACCUCGUGACUCACAGGUUAUUAGCAGUAAUAUCUGAUAAUCCAGUGAAAGGAGAAAAAACAAAUUAAAUUGUUUUGUAAGAAACAUCUUUCAUUUGCAAUACUACUUCUUAGAAAAAGACGUUUUAAAAAUUUUUGUAAUGCAGAGAAAUAUUUAUGUACAAUUUAAAGUAAAAAUAUACAUCUUUUUCUACUUUUCAGAAAUUCACUUCAGUAAAAAAAGUAUGAACUUGUUUAAAACUAAAAGACAUUGCAAUUAGACCUGAUAAAUAAUUCUGGCUCAGAUAAGCCAUGUUCUAGCAUAUGCUUAUGCUACUGGUGCUAGUCAGAAAGAUAUAUCAGAAGUCUUGAAGAAGUUUGUGUAAAGUCUGUAAAGGUUAAUUAAGGAAAAAGUUAUUUUGAAAUUGAGGCAAUUUGUAAAAACCCUCCAGCUUUGCCCUUACAUUCUUUCACAGUAUGCAGGAUCCAGGGAACAAAACAUUCCAAAAUACUUUUGAACAGCUGCAAGAAGAAUUUAACUUUGUUACUGAAAAAGAUAUUAAAAAGUCUAAAUGCUUCCAGCUGUUGCAGUAGUAAAACUUGUGUUUAUAGGGAGAUACAGCAUACAGUAUUUCAGGAAUUUGGUGUUUCAGAUACAGUCUUUGUUUUAAACUUAUAUUUGAUAAGUUGUGUUACACUUAAUCUCUGAUUUUUUAAUAUUUUCUGAGUCAAUCUUUCCUGUUCUUUUAUAUGUUUAUGUAGCAGAGAAUUUUGUUCAUUAUCAACCUAAAUGCCAAGUUAGAGCUAUCUAUACUUUCAACACAUUUGGAUUUACUGUAAUUAGAAGCAUAUUAGAUAUAUUAGUUAAGAGUACAAAUUAAAAAUCCAGUAAGAAUUUUAUUAUAGCUUGCAAAAUGUUACUUAUAGGUAUUAGAUACAUAUUGAAAUGCUAUGGUACUUUGAAGAAAAUUCACAAUUUUUCUCUUGAAUAUUCGCAAAGUGAAGCUCUGGGUAAAAACUUUAAAAUGUAGUUAAUACCCAACAUUUUGAUUAGAUAACUGCAUCUGGCAUGCUGAUUUUUGUAGACUGCAAUCCUUCACAUUCUUGACUGGUGGGAUUGUAUAUUUAUGAAACUUUGUGACCCCUCACACGGAGCUGCCACAAUUUAUCAUGAGCUGGAGCUCUGAGGCAGAGCAAGGGUCAGCAAAGGCAGUGGCAUUACAGCAGUAUGGGCAUUAUUCCUUUCUAAUGGUUUGGGAAAAUUUCUGGGUUCUCUAAAGUGUGAACUCUUCAGCUACAUUUAGAAAUUUCCAAAGGACUCUGACAUCCUCUGAAAUACUUUUGCAGUUGAAAUGCUGGAAAUUUUUUUUCAAAAAGCCAACUGGUAUGAACUACUGUCUUUUCCUUCAUUAAAAAUUCUCAUUGCUCCUCUUUCAAUUAGUUGUUUCAAAAAUUGGAUAUCAUGAGAAUAUAUCUAUCACACCCCUAGAAGAGUUGUCCUAAUACUUAGAUAUCACAAUGCUUUAUUUCUGUCAUGUACUCCAGUUUAAAUUUACAAUCAGCUUCCUGGACUCCUUUGUGGUGUGCCCAUAUCUGCUAGUUCAGGAUCCCAUCCUAGAUAUGUUCUUCUUGUGCAGAGCUGAUAGGCUUUUGGUGGCACUCUGUGUUUGGGAAGUUAAAUUGACUUUCCUCACUCUGUCUCUAGAAUGCAAGUUUUCUUGUAAAUGUUUCUUGCAACUCUUUCUGAAGCUUUCCCAUUCAUUGAACUAAUAAAUUAGGGAUUUUUUUUUGGUAAUAAAUAUUUUCAUAGUGCUCAGUCUUUAUGGCAAGAUUAGCUAUGAAAUUAAUGGCUUUUAAAGUGUUUUCAUGCAAAGGAUAGGUAUAUUGUGGGAGUUACAAGUUUUUGAGGACCAUUUUUAUAGAGAUUUUUUUAUAGUUUCCUGCCAAUGUUUAUGCUUUUCUUGAUAGCUGCUGAUGAGGCCAGGAAAAACUGUGUGAGUUCCCAAACCAUACAGAGAACAUAAAUGAAAAUAAAACCUGUGAUGUUUGAUACAAACAACUGACACAUAGACUGAUAGUUUGAAGUAUCUACUAUCUCAAUUCUCAAACCCUUUGUAGCAUGGCAACCUUGAAAAAAAUCCCUUCCUGACUAAUGAUGCAGUUGUUAUCUUUAUAGAUUUUAUAAAAUUAUUUUAUACCCUUCUUGUAAACAGAUGUGUCCGCAUGAGUGCUGUCAGUGGCAGCUGUACACAGGGCUGUUCAUCACAUGCUUAUUUGAAGAGGUGUAGAUUAAAAAAUUCUGGUAAUUCCAAAGAAAUUAUAGUUGCAUGAGCAGAUGUCAGAAGCAGCUGAGUUACCUAUUCAUCUAUAGAACAUCCUAUGAGUGAACUGCCAGGUAAAAAGGGAGUUGGAAGGUAUCAGUAGGUGGCAGAAAAACACUGGUAUUACCUGUGGCUUUACCUGUGUAACCAGCACCUGACAUCUCUGCCUUUAUAAUAUUUUAAAGUUUCCAUCUUUCCCUGUGCUGAGCUCCAGACCCCUUUGCAAGACUUCUGUUUCCAUGUUUUCAGUUAUGACAGCCUAGUGCUGUAUUACUGUUCUUCAAAUAGUUCAAAUCUGUCAUCAGAGGGAACUUUCCAGAUGCUUUGAUGUGAAGCAGACAGCUUCUCUUUCCAUGAGAAGGGAAGUUUGAGGGGUGGUGAAAUGAGAAAGUGUUCUCAACACUAAGAACCCUUGAACUGAUACCAAAAUUGCUCUAGGAUACUGCAACCAUCAUUUGGAAUACUUAUUUUGCUCUUCUGUGGAUUUGAUUUUUUUUUUUUUUUGCUAGAUGUCAUUUUUGUAUCAGUUUGAAAAGGUGAACUCUGAGCUUAGGACUCUUGAGUCUUUGAUCUGCACAGCAUCAUUUUGGAUCCAGCAGUGCUUACUUCAAAGUACAAUAAUAUAUGAAAAUCAUGGCAGACUUCUGUGGGCUUUGGAAAUUAUAUGACUGCAUCAACUCUGUGCUCCAUCUUGAGCUAAGAAAACUGGCUAGAUCCAAGCUAGCAUAUGAGAAACCAGUUCUGCUAUCUAUACCAGCAGCACUGUUGGUUCUUGUUCAAUCUGCCAACAAAUAGUUUUAGCUUUGUGUUCACAGUGAUAUCAUCUUUGCUUUUGUUAGAAUGUGUUUCAGUUUCACAUUGGCCACUCAUAUGAGAAAGAACUGGAUUGGAUCAGUUAUCAGUCAGUUCUCAGCUCCUCUGGAGCAAUUGAAAGUAAUGCAAACUUAAAUAUAAAAUAUUUCUGUGGUAUUUGUAAAACUCUGUAGGAGCUUUUGUUGCUAUAAAAGUAAGGUGAUAAGGUUUUCAGAGGGAUGACACUCUGCAGAGUCCAGUAGUACAUGUUAUAGUACAUAUUAUAACAGCAGCUCCACUGUAUUAUAAUUUGUGAGAACUCUUGGUGUCCCUGUAUGCCUUGGAGCUGGUAUGAAGACAGCUCCCUACUUUUCUAGCAUGAUUCCAAAAAAGGCUUUUCCCAAAACCUUUUUAAGAAGCAUUUCUUUGUCUGAUUUGUGACUACAGUGAAAGGUGCUGGCAUAUUUCCCUCAUGGAGGCUCAAGGAGGAACUGAAAUUAAGUUUGUCUGAGCAACACAAGGAAUUCCAAGAAGAAUAGAAAGUUCAGUCACAAUAUUUGGAUUUUAGUCUAUUCAAGCUCCAGACUCUGUGUUUAGCCAUAGCUGAUGACUGUCUUGAGCAUAUACACAGUAGGAAGUUGGGAAUAAAAAAUUUAUUUAACGGGUAUUUCGAAUAUGGCUGUUUGAAAUAAAAUGUUUAAUAGGCUGUUUUAAAAUCCUUUUAUUGAAAUAAAUUUUAAAUAACUUUUUCAACUUGAAUAGGGGCAUGGAAAGUGAAUUGCAGAAUACUAAAUGUCUUAACAUGAUAGAAUAGAACCAUAGAAUGGUGUAGGUUGGAAAAGACUGCCAAGUCCAUUUAAUUUUACAAGUUCCUGAGAUUGUCAGUGUUUAAGUGCAUCAUUCCAAGGUACCUCUUCCACUUCUCUGAGACUAGAAAAGUGUUUCCCAAGAUAAUUUUUCCUCCUGGGAAAAGUCCACUACUGUUCUUCUUGUCAAGUGUUGGUGUCCUUUUACAGAACUUAGCAAGUAGAAUCCUUUGAGGAAGAUAUAAAUAAUUAAUUGUAGUGGAUUUCAUGUGCCUAUACCACAAGUUUUACUUGGAUACACCUUGAAUUAGACAUUUAUUUCCUAAUGCCUUGGAGCAUGUAAUAUUAUUUACCUACAUAAUUUUCCUCUGUAGUUAGGCUUUGAAGUUACAAAUCAAAGUAAUUUGUCUGUUCUAGUUCGUAGGAUACUGAAAGAAAUAGUUCUUCAAAGAAGAUGUAUUUCUAAAAGAAAUGUAAAGCACAAUUUUCAAAUAGAGUAAAUAAUAACUUGUGGUUUAACAAAGGAGGAAAGAGUUUUAGUCAUGAACUGUAUUAAAAGUGUUGAAUGUGCCACAAGAGCUAUUGAAUGUUGGUCUCAAAUAAGUUAUUUCAGCAUCCAGUAAAAAAAGCAGAAUUUGUGAAUUUCACAGAUUCCCCAAACAUUCUGAGCUGGAAGGGACCCACAAGGAUCAAGUCCCACUCUUUGACUGACAAUUUAAUACUGUAAUUGACAACUUGCUAGUAGUGGCUGUGGAAGCUGAACCAGUAAAAUGUAAUUUUAUCACAAUUCCUAAAGGUGUUUUUUCAAGGAUAUGUGCUUUUGUGUUUUAGAGCUAAGUCUUUAAUUCAAUAAAUGUUUGCACAUCUUUAUUUCUGUGCCUGGGAAAGCAUACAGCACAUGCAGAGUUCAGCAGAACUGAGUAUACACAUCUAUUAUACCACAAAAUUGUACUGAAAAGUAACUGUAUCAAGUCUAGGAAAGUGCUCUUCUUUCUGCAUUUAAUCAGAUUUACUGAGUGGAAGGUGGAAGAAAUCCCAUCAUAGACCCUAUUGACUAAUUUGCAUUAAGAGAUAUUUCUUCCUUACCUCCAUUAGUAUUUGGCUUAAAUCCUGAAUGAUUUCAUUAGCUAUGUAAGGGCUUAAUCUCUUGAAAAUCCUGCUAAGCUCUUGCCCUCAUUGAAAGCUGUGAUAAUUUGUUCUAGUUAAUUUUGAUUUAAAUAUAUAGCCUUUCAGUUCUAGUUAAUCAUCUUGGCUUUUUUUUUUAAUAAUAAUGACAAGAUGAAUAAGAACACAAUUUUUUUCUUUAUUUUAUUAUUUUGCAUCCCUCUGCUGUUUAGUCUUAGAAUCUUCUUUUAAACAAUACCACUUUUUUCAAUUUGUCAAUGCAGUCACUGCAAUUGUAAGUGAGGUAAAAUGAAAUACUUAUGGUAGUUGAUGUCUUUAAUCCUGUUUUUUCAACCUAAAGGAAUAUUUGAGACAGCUAUGAUUUUUGCUGUAAUUAUUCUUUUGACAUAUGAAAGACUUAGAUUUAUUCAGAGUUGUCCUGCACCUUUUUUCCAAAGGAAAGAGAACAACUUGCAAAAGGUUGUAGAAGAAAAUGCUUCUUUAAAUGUUUUAUAUUACUGCAAGUAUGUAAGGAAGCUAAAUAGUGUUUUUAAUUUCUUUUCUCAUGGAAGAACACAUAAUUUCUGUUACCCAUUUUGUGUUGAUAUAGGAGGGAAAAUUGCAUUUGUACUAACUCCAGAAAAAUUCUUUUGGAAUCUCUUAGUGGGGCUGUAUUGCAAGGGGAUGUUAUGAGCAGUUUGAUACUUUUUUAUCCUCUCCAGAAUACUGACUGCAUUGUGAAUGGGGAGAAUUUAAGAAUGUGGUGAUAGGAUGGUUUCCUGUUAAAAAAACCCAAGGCAUGUACUAAUAUCAAGAAUAAACAGGAACAUAUAAACAGGGAUGGCUUAUGGAAACAAACAAAACAGGCAGUUUUUUCCAGGAGAAAGUGGCAAUGGAAGUGCUUCCAAGCUAGUUUUGUGUUGUCACAGUCUGGCUGAUCAAGGAAGUGGAAAAAAUUCUUGAUGGUCUCUUGUAGGUGUAGUGCUGGCAUGCUUGCUGCCUUUUUAGCAACCAGCUCUCCCAAGCCUGAGGAUACUUUACAAGGAACUCCCAAAGGAGUCUUACAACCACCUCUGCGUAGUGGGAGGAUCCCUUUGGAGCACAUAACCCAAACCCAGGCACAGAAGUCUGAAGGGGACUUUCCUACCAGUUAGAGAACCCCUUGCCCAGUAAGGCCUUAUCCACUUUUCCCAUUUGCCAUUCAGCUGUUUUUGGAUGUGUGGCCACACACCUACUCCUUCAUCUGUCAGUGCAGAUAGUCUUCAAGGUAUUCAUAAUCUCUGCUAAAAGAGAAUGGAAUAUUCAAGUCCUUGGAGAUUGUCCUUACUGCACCACAGCAAACAGGAGCUAAGAUAAGGGCUGAGAUGGGAUGCAAGUCAGGAGCACAGAACUGCUCUCCAAAAUACAGGCACUUUGCCUGGAAACUCAGGCUUUGUGGUAUUUCUGAAGAAUUUCUACACCUCUGGAGAUCUGCAGCAGUGCUGUCUGGAGUGUCAUCAAUCCCCCUGCAAAAUCUGUCCAUCCAAGCAUACAGAAGCACUUAGCAAAGCCUUGCUGCUCUUUGUGUUCUUAAAAUAAACAAACAAAUAGAGAACUCUUAAGUAACAUAUCUGAUAGUUGUUGGAGAGGGUAAAGCAGAACACCAUUUGGCAAAAUCUUUCAUGACAUCAUGUUAACAACAGGCAGAUUGACAAUCUGUCCUCCUCUGCAUGGAGUCUCAUUAAUAAAUCUGUAGGUCAGACUGAAGGGAGGGCAAGUGUUUUAAAGUUGCCAGUCUGGUGAGCUUGAGUACUGAAAUACCCAUAGUGUAACUGUGCAUACAAUAAUUUUCAAUUACUUCUAUUCAAUUUUAUGUUUUAAUUUUCUAAGUUUCUAAGCAAUGCUUUACAUAUUUUCUUUGUUUUCUUCAAGAUGAUAAAGAUAUCUAGAUACCUGAGGGUGCAUAGAAGAAGGAGUUUAAGGAGAAAAUAAUUAUGCAGUUACACAUUGUUUGGUUUGGGGUUUUUCUUUUCAAUGUCCAGUAGCCAAUGCUUUCCUUUGUCAGAAUGCAUGCCUUGUUUAUUGAAGUUAGAGAAAUUUCUUACAUUACCUUUAAUUCCAGGAAAGAGCAAACAGUCUAAAGUAAGCUUCACAAUUGUACUUGUGCCCUAACUUCUAAAAUAGCACUGAGAUGGAGACUAGAAACAGUGUGUGUUUUGUUAUUGCUGCUUUACUUGGUGUUUCAAAAAAUUGCUGUUGACCACCUUUUAAUACAGGAUGACCAACUGGGCACUUGCACUCACUCAGAUAAGGCCUUAUCACAAGACUUUUGUUCCUGUGAACAUUCAGAAUGCAGAGUCAAUAAAUUAUUGCAGGAAUAUGCUACAUUACUUUCUGGCUUAUAUAUAUAUUUUAACCACAGUAUUAGAGUUGGAAAAAGUUUUUAUUUCUGGUGAUGUGUCAGUCACUAAAAUGUUGACUUUAAAAUUCAGAUUUUAAGCUAAAUUUGCAAUGCUGGAAGACCAUAAAUAGCCUCACAUUUAAAGUAAAUAAUGAACCUGGGUCAUGGGAAGCAGAGAUAAGGCUUUUCUUGUUACGUACAAACACAAAAAUAGCUGGACUUGCAAUUUCAAAUCUGAAGCUGAGACUUCUACUGAAAUGUUGAAAAGUAUUUGGCAAUCCUUGUAGUUGUUAGGAGACUCAGAAAUGUCACGGGUAGUUCCUAUUUUGUAAUUACUGUAAAAAAAAAAAAAAUUUGAGAUUUCAAGGCCACAGUCUAGACAGACUUGACUUUUGCUGCCUUAAGAGUGAGGACAAAACUUCCCAGAUCAAAGUAUCCAUGUAAUAUGCAUGCUAUCAUUGUAUUAGAGCAUUGCCUUUGUUCCUUACAGGGAUGGAGUACAGCUUGCUCUCCCUCUGGCCCUAGAUCCUCCAGAAAUGUUUUCACUAUCAGUGGUUUAUUCCUAAAUGGAUGGGUAAAAGUUAAGAGGCCUCAUAAUUUCAUUUUUUAACUUUAGACAAAUUAGAUUUUAAGCAAGCUUAUUAAUUUUUGUGAGUCAGCCUUGCUACAAAUAUACAGUGUGCACAGUGUUACAAAGAAACAGAACUAUUUCUAGCAAGCAGCAGUUAUCAGAAGUUCAAAACAAUCAAAAAUAUCUGUGCUAGGAUACAUCAUGUGAUUCUACAGUGCCUGCAGCAUGACUGACCCUUCACAGCUAUUGUAAAUAACACAAGUGCUUGUGGCUCUUGACAAGAGGCUAUUGCCACAUCUCCUAAAUGAUUUCUAGUAUUAGAAAUCUGAGAUUGCCAGCAUUAAUGGUUGCUUUUUUGCAUGAGAACAAAAUGAAUUCCCCCCGCUGGCUCUUGAGCUACUCGAGUUCUUUUGUUCUUUAUUUCUUUGUUACAGCUGUGUACUAGACUCAUUGUUGAAGUGUACAAUAUUUAGCAUAUGCUGUGGCUGCAAUUAGUUUUAAAGCUCUUCCUGCACGAUUUCCUUCCUACUUUUUUUUCAAUUGUGAAGCCUGAGUGUUCAUGAAGCUUAUGAUAUGUCACAGAAAACAAGGGGGGAGGGAGAGAAAAAGUCCUUACAGCUUCAGCCAGC
This is a non-coding RNA of Zonotrichia albicollis (white-throated sparrow), 9936 nucleotides long. The record is from RefSeq and is a predicted model, not a curated record. Lineage: Eukaryota; Metazoa; Chordata; Aves; Passeriformes; Passerellidae.